GAACUGCGAUACGCAGUGUGAAUUGCAGACUUCAGAGAAUCACUAGAUUACUGAACGCAAAUGGCACUCAGACUAACAAUCUGAGUAUGUUCAUUUCAGUGGCCCUGACUAUUGUUGCCUGUUCAUACUGAAUGAGCAACGUGAGUGGAUGUUAUGUUCAUACAUGACAUCAUAAGUUUCGCACAGAUUUGUUCUUAUGAGGAAAAGGGAACCCUCAUAUCCUUUAUAAGAAUUGUUCUGUGACUCUUUACACUGGUCCUGAAAUUGAGCAAGAUUACCCGCCGAACUUAA
RNAcentral lists this unclassified non-coding RNA (291 nucleotides) under uncultured fungus. RNAcentral's name for it is "sequence contains ITS1". The stretch from base 1 to 104 matches the Rfam family "5.8S ribosomal RNA", at positions 50 to 154 of the family's 154-position model. Lineage: Eukaryota; Fungi. The record is from RNAcentral.